RNAcentral lists this ribosomal RNA (777 nucleotides) under uncultured Planctomycetota bacterium. Its description in RNAcentral is "bacterial SSU rRNA". It matches the Rfam family "Bacterial small subunit ribosomal RNA", at positions 135 to 918 of the family's 1533-position model. Lineage: Bacteria; Pseudomonadati; Planctomycetota. The record is from RNAcentral.
GGGCGGACAGAGACGCGGAGAGAAAAGAUAAUUGCCAGCGACGUCGACGAGGGGCAUCCCCCGCCGACCCAAGCUCCGGCGUCGCGGGACGGGCCGUCGUGGUAUUAGGUCGUUGGCGGGGUAACGGCCCACCAAGCCUGCGAUGCCUACCGGGCGUGCGAGCGUGGCCCGGCACACUGGGACUGAGACACUGCCCAGACUCCUACGGGAGGCUGCAGUCGAGAAUCUUCGGCAAUGGGCGCAAGCCUGACCGAGCGACGCCGCGUGGAGGAUGAAGGCCCUCGGGUUGUAAACUCCUGUCGAGGGGGAAGAAGGCGCGUGAGCGCUUGACUGAUCCCUGGAGGAAGCACGGGCUAAGUUCGUGCCAGCAGCCGCGGUAAGACGAACCGUGCGAACGUUAUUCGGAAUCACUGGGCUUAAAGCGCGUGUAGGCGGGACGGCACGUCGGUCGCUGAAAGCCCCCGGCUCAACCGGGGAACGGGCGCCGAUACGACCGGCCUGGAGGGACGUAGGGGGACCUGGAACUUCCGGUGGAGCGGUGAAAUGCGUUGAGAUCGGAAGGAACGCCCGUGGCGAAAGCGAGGUCCUGGACGUUUUCUGACGCUGAGACGCGAAAGCCAGGGGAGCGAACGGGAUUAGAUACCCCGGUAGUCCUGGCCGUAAACGAUGGGCACUGGGUAGGGGGCUCGCCGAUGGGCUCCCUGCCGUAGGGAAACCGUGAAGUGCCCCGCCUGGGGAGUAUGGUCGCAAGGCUGAAACUCAAAUGAAUUGACGGGG